GUGCCAGCCGCCGCGGUAAUACGGAGGGUGCAAGCGUUAAUCGGAAUUACUGGGCGUAAAGCGCACGCAGGCGGUCUGUCAAGUCGGAUGUGAAAUCCCCGGGCUCAACCUGGGAACUGCAUUCGAAACUGGCAGGCUAGAGUCUUGUAGAGGGGGGUAGAAUUCCAGGUGUAGCGGUGAAAUGCGUAGAGAUCUGGAGGAAUACCGGUGGCGAAGGCGGCCCCCUGGACAAAGACUGACGCUCAGGUGCGAAAGCGUGGGGAGCAAACAGGAUUAGAUACCCUGGUAGUCCACGCCGUAAACGAUGUCGACUUGGAGGUUGUGCCCUUGAGGCGUGGCUUCCGGAGCUAACGCGUUAAGUCGACCGCCUGGGGAGUACGGCCGCAAGGUUAAAACUCAAAUGAAUUGGCGG
This 412-nucleotide ribosomal RNA is filed under the name uncultured bacterium. RNAcentral describes it as "bacterial SSU rRNA". It matches the Rfam family "Bacterial small subunit ribosomal RNA", at positions 505 to 916 of the family's 1533-position model. The record is from RNAcentral.